CCUGCCCCUAGAAGCAUUGCAGGUGUGACUGAUGUGUGUCUUCUGAGGCAAUAGGUAGCAGAAAGAAGCUUUGUCUAAGCUUAGUGUUCUGACCUAUGACUAUCUGAAUGUUUAGUCGCUUAACAUU
This is a small nucleolar RNA of Meriones unguiculatus (Mongolian gerbil), 127 nucleotides long. NCBI's taxonomy places the organism in Eukaryota, Metazoa, Chordata, Mammalia, Rodentia, Muridae. The record is from Ensembl.